RNAcentral lists this non-coding RNA (23 nucleotides) under Cricetulus griseus (Chinese hamster). The record is from RNAcentral. Lineage: Eukaryota; Metazoa; Chordata; Mammalia; Rodentia; Cricetidae.
UCCACGCAUCGACCUGGUAUUGC